RNAcentral lists this ribosomal RNA (254 nucleotides) under uncultured bacterium. RNAcentral describes it as "partial 16S ribosomal RNA". It matches the Rfam family "Bacterial small subunit ribosomal RNA", at positions 524 to 776 of the family's 1533-position model. The record is from RNAcentral.
UACGUAGGCAGCGAGCGUUGUUCGGAGUUACUGGGCGUUAAAGGGUGUGUAGGCGGUUGUUUAAGUUUGGUGUGAAAUCUCCCGGCUCAACUGGGAGGGUGCGCCGAAUACUGAAUGACUUGGAGUGCGGGAGAGGAAAGUGGAAUUCCUGGUGUAGCGGUGAAAUGCGUAGAUAUCAGGAGGAACACCGGUGGUGUAGACGGCUUCUGGACCGUAACUGACGCUGAGACACGAAAGCGUGGGUAGCAAACAGG